UCAGGGCCUGGGGAGCAGCUGGCUGAGCUCCUGCAGGCGCAGUGCUGGGGUCGGAGUAGCAAACCUUCUGCCCCCGUGAACACAGGAGAAGAGGGAGGGUGUGGCUCUCUCCACACCGUCUCACGGGUGGUUGUGGAGAGCGGAGAACAAACAGGCCCAGCAAAGCAGCAAAACCCGGUGGGCAACUCCAGGAUCCAUUGCAAUGAGGAAGGACCCUCACCCUCCCUACCCCCGGCCAGUCCGCGGGGACCAGGACCUGGCACGCGUCCCCUCCACGCUGAGGCAGUGGGCCGCCGGCAGCGUGCCCCGGGCGGGUCCCCUGAAUCCUCCUCCUCUGCGACCUCCCGGCGAGCUGAGGCAGCCCGGCCCAGGCCCUCCUUGGCUUUUCCCUGCGCUCAGCCUUUUCUCGCCCACUCUCCGGAGGCCCAUACUCUCCCUCGAGGAUGUACUGAUAAAGCUCUUACUCAUCCGCUCCCAGCCCUCCCAUCCGUAAUUCUUCGCUGCGUCGUCGGGGAAGCAGAGCCGCACUUCCAAUCAGAGACUCAUCCCCGGCAUCGGCCAGCCGGGGCUGCAAGACCGGUCCACUGAGGGAAGUUGUGGUUGAGAAACCGCAUGAAGCAAGGGAGUUUCUUAAAAGGGGAUUUCUCUAUUUCCCCUUCUUUCCUUGUUCCCUAUACUCAGGAAAUCUUGAGAGUUUCCUAAAGGGAAACGCUGACCAAAUAGGCGCUGGCAAGUCUUCUAGCAGGAGGGGAAAAAAAAAAACAAACCCCAAAGCUGAAUCUCUCUGUGAACAGCGUCCAGGGCCCGCUCUCUUUCUGGGUGUGUGCAGACACUACUUGGUUUUAGGGUGGGGUUUGGGGGUGCCGUUGUGUGCCUCUCAAGGGAGCCUCUCCUCCCGGCUCACGAUGAAGCAAUUAAGAAUCACUGGCAGGGAAGUGACUGGAAGCAAAGGGGAACCGUUCUGGGGAAAGUCCUGCCUGAUCACACAACCCUCAGCCACUCCAUUUAAGGUGAGCACUGCGGGAAGGCAGGAAGCAACCCCUGGAGUGGACUCCAGGCCCAGGCGCACGCUAUCCGCAAGGCCACACUGACCAGGAGCUGUCCCAGGGAGCCUCAGGUGGCCUGCCUGGGGGAGGGAGGCUGCAGGUGGUGUAGACACCCCCCCCCCCCCCGGAAAAGCCCAGGGGAGCAGGAAGCUAUUGGUAUUCGGCGACAGCGGCUCUCUUCCCUGUGCUGAGUCAUCUCGCAGUGGGGCACCGGGGGACCACACCUGCCUGAAUUUCUGAGGCCUCCGGAAAACCCCAGCAGCCCUCAUCCCUGGGAGCUUUUACCUUGGGUAAUCCCUCCUCCCCCUCCCCCUCGGCAUUUCCAACAGCUCCACCUUCCCAACCUCUCUUUCUCCUCCAAGGGCAAUCUUCACAGAUGGGGGGCCCACAAGUUCAGUGUGGUUGCAUCAUCCACGCAAAGCUUUUCCACGGCAAUGGAGCCUUAAGUGUAUUGCUAAUUUAGCGAUAAUAAUAGCUAAUGUUUAGUAAUCACUUACUGUGUCCAGGUAUUGUUGACUGACUGUGAAGUCAAUCAGGAGACUUCAGCUAGAAACAUCACAAAGAUUUGCCCAGGGGCCACCCUGGCUGGUGUGGCUCAGUGGAUUGAGCGCUGGCCUGCAAACCCCAAGGCUGCCGGUUUAAUUCCCAGCCAGGGCAGAUGCCUGGGUUUGGGGCCAGGUCCCCAGUUGGGGGUGCACAAGGGGCAACAGGUAUCCCUUACACACAUCAAUGUUUUUCUCCCUCCCUUGCUCUCUCUCUAAAAACAAAUAAA
Molecule: long non-coding RNA, 1818 nt
Organism: Phyllostomus hastatus (greater spear-nosed bat)
Lineage: Eukaryota; Metazoa; Chordata; Mammalia; Chiroptera; Phyllostomidae
Exons: 3
Source: RefSeq, a predicted model, not a curated record